RNAcentral lists this ribosomal RNA (434 nucleotides) under crenarchaeote SCGC AAA288-G02. Its description in RNAcentral is "SSU rRNA". It matches the Rfam family "Archaeal small subunit ribosomal RNA", at positions 464 to 898 of the family's 1478-position model. The record is from RNAcentral. Lineage: Archaea; Thermoproteati; Thermoproteota.
GCCGCGGUAAAACCAGCACCUCAAGUGGUCAGGAGGAUUAUUGGGCCUAAAGCAUCCGUAGCCGGCUCUGUAAGUUUCCGGUUAAAUCCAUGUGCUCAACGCAUGGGCUGCCGAAAAUACUGCAUAGCUAGGGAGUGGGAGAGGUAGACGGUACUCAGUAGGAAGGGGUAAAAUCCUUUGAUCUAUUGAUGACCACCUGUGGCGAAGGCGGUCUACCAGAACACGUUCGACGGUGAGGGAUGAAAGCUGGGGGAGCAAACCGGAUUAGAUACCCGGGUAGUCCCAGCUGUAAACGAUGCAGACUCGAUGAUGCAUUGGCAUAUAGCCAGUGCAGUGUCGCAGGGAAGCCGUUAAGUCUGCCGCCUGGGAAGUACGUACGCAAGUAUGAAACUUAAAGGAAUUGGCGGGGGAGCACGGUCAUAGCUGUUUCCGGA